AUGAAGAGUGGUCAUGGAGCCUACACCAUUAUAUCUUCACUACGAUGUCAUGAAGAUGCUAAUCUUAUCUAGCCUGUAGUCAAAAUGUGUGGCAUCACAUUAGCUAAAGAUGCAGAAAUCGCCAUGGAGGCAGGAGCUAAAUUUAUUGGCAUGAUACUUUGGCCUAACUCCAAGCACUCUAUUGCAUUAACAGAAGCAGAAGAAGUAUCUAGAGUAUCACAAUAUUAUGGGGUUGAAUCAGUUGGUGUAUUUAUGGAUGAUGACGAAGAGAAAGUACUAAGAGUGUCUGAUUCAUGUGACCUUAAUCUAGUCCAGCUCCAUGGAGAUAAAUCCCAUGCAUUGCUUCGUGUUCUCUCAAAGAAUAAUCGUAUCGUUUAUGUCCUAAAUGUCAAUGAUGAUGGCAAACUUAUCAAUUCUUAUCCUCAUGAAGAAUAUCUACUUGAUUGGUUCUUAGUGGACAGUGCGAAGGGGCGAAGGUUAGAUUUGGUUAUUGCUUCUCUAAUGAGUAUAAAACUGGCUCCCCUAUCCUAA
Molecule: ribosomal RNA, 531 nt
Filed under: Triticum aestivum (bread wheat)
Lineage: Eukaryota; Viridiplantae; Streptophyta; Magnoliopsida; Poales; Poaceae
Description: partial small subunit ribosomal RNA
Source: RNAcentral